This 492-nucleotide ribosomal RNA is filed under the name uncultured bacterium. Its description in RNAcentral is "partial 16S ribosomal RNA". It matches the Rfam family "Bacterial small subunit ribosomal RNA", at positions 29 to 507 of the family's 1533-position model. The record is from RNAcentral.
AGUGAACGCUGGCGGUAGGCCUAACACAUGCAAGUCGAACGGCAGCACAGUAAGAGCUUGCUCUUACGGGUGGCGAGUGGCGGACGGGUGAGGAAUACAUCGGAAUCUACUUUUUCGUGGGGGAUAACGUAGGGAAACUUACGCUAAUACCGCAUACGACCUACGGGUGAAAGCAGGGGAUCUUCGGACCUUGCGCGAUUGAAUGAGCCGAUGUCGGAUUAGCUAGUUGGCGGGGUAAAGGCCCACCAAGGCGACGAUCCGUAGCUGGUCUGAGAGGAUGGUCAGCCACACUGGAACUGAGACACGGUCCAGACUCCUACGGGAGGCAGCAGUGGGGAAUAUUGGACAAUGGGCGGAAGCCUGAUCCAGCCAUACCGCGUGGGUGAAGAAGGCCUUCGGGUUGUAAAGCCCUUUUGUUGGGAAAGAAAAGCAGCAGGUUAAUACCCCGCUGUUCUGACGGUACCCAAAGAAUAAGCACCGGCUAACUUCGUG